UCUCACAUUUUCUUCCCACCCACCAAACUCAUCCAAAUUCUUCUCUUCUUUUUCUUUCCGGCCAAAGAACAGGUGCGGCGUUUUAGAACUAGCCUGUUCAGUCCCCUCUCUCUCUCGAUCUCGAUCUCGAUCUCGACGAGAGAAGUUCAGACUUCGGCUGAUCUCCACUUUAUCCAGUAGCCACCACCGUCCCAAUCACAGAUUGAAGGUGAGAGGCAGUGCGAUGGCAUUCCAUUGAAAUUCGGUCAUGAGACUCAUGACAAACAUGGCCGUGUCAAUUUCUUCUCCUUUAACAAGGUGGAGCUCCCUGCACUUCCCUAACAUCACUGUUAUGAAGAAAGAUGCAUUGGUGAAGCAUCUUUGGAGGUCCUAGCUUCUUGGCAGAGAUACUGUGAAGGAGCGACCGAGUUGGAUAGAGGAUUCGAAUGAGGGCUGGAGGUGGGGUUGGGUAUUUGGUGGAGGGAUUCGGGGCGGGGGAAGGAGAGAGGAAAUCAGGGGUGGGAAAUUCACGAAUAGAUUUGGGAAUUUUGGAGACGGUUGUGUUAUUGGACAGGAGUUUGGCCUGGCGGAGGUGGGUGGAGGUGGUGGUGUAGUGGACAGGGAUGUUGUAGGACGAGGAGAUGAUUUAGGAGAGGUGGUGGAGCUGAUUGAGAUGGUUUUGGCAUGGAAAUGGCACAAUUAUCACCACCACUUCUCCCAGCUAGCUGUUUGGAGAUACUACUGAGGUCAUGACUUGGAUCUUUGUUAUGAAUCUUCACGAAACUCUCUCUCUCUCUCUCUCUCUCUCUCUCUCUCUCUCUCUCUCUCUCUCUCUCUCCUAUAGUAUUAUCAUGGAUCUUUGUUAUGAAUCUUCAUGUAUUAUCAAUUUUGUUAUUGUCACAGCAACAAUGAGUACAUUCUUUCAUUUUUUUGAACGACAAUUUUUUUUUUUAUUAAUCUUUGAAGUUGUUACAAAGACUAAAAGGAAUAAAGAGUGAUACAUUAAAUUCCUAAGUAAAGUUAAGAACUAUCUUGUGCCUAUUCAAGACCCAAAUCUUUGGGACAAGCCCAUAAUCCUAAGCCCAAAAGCAGAGCACCAAAAGAACUAAAGAAAAA
This is a long non-coding RNA of Rhododendron vialii, 1095 nucleotides long. RefSeq lists it as uncharacterized. The transcript is spliced from 3 exons. NCBI's taxonomy places the organism in Eukaryota, Viridiplantae, Streptophyta, Magnoliopsida, Ericales, Ericaceae. The record is from RefSeq and is a predicted model, not a curated record.